This 517-nucleotide ribosomal RNA is filed under the name uncultured bacterium. Its description in RNAcentral is "bacterial SSU rRNA". It matches the Rfam family "Bacterial small subunit ribosomal RNA", at positions 29 to 518 of the family's 1533-position model. The record is from RNAcentral.
AACGAACGCUGGCGGCGUGGAUAAGACAUGCAAGUCGGACGCUGUAUUUUGUAGCAAUAUGAGGAUACGGGAGUGGCGAAAGGGUGCGUAACACGUGGGUAAUUUGUCUGAGAGUUCAGGAUAAUUCGCUGAAAGGCGGAGUAAUACUGGAUGUGGAUAUUGGUUGGGAACAGCUGAUAUCUAAAGCCGGGGACCGCAAGGCCUGGUGCUCUUAGGUAAGCCCGCGACCUAUCAGCUAGUUGGUGAGGUAAGAGCCCACCAAGGCGGAGACGGGUAGCUGGUCUGAGAGGACGACCAGCCACACUGGAACUGAGACACGGUCCAGACACCUACGGGUGGCAGCAGUCGAGAAUUUUUCUCAAUGGGGAAACCCUGAAGGAGCGACGCCGCGUGGGGGAUGAAGGGCCUUCGGCUCGUAAACCCCUGUCAUUUGUGAGCAAGUGUUAUUGUUUAAGAGAUGAUGACAUUGAUAGUAGACAAAAGAGGAAGGGACGGCUAACUCUGUGCCAGCCGCUGC